UUGCCUACGGGAGGCAGCAGUGAGGAAUAUUGGUCAAUGGGCGAUAGCCUGAACCAGCCAAGUCGCGUGAGGGAAGACGGCCCUAUGGGUUGUAAACCUCUUUUGUCGGGGAGCAAGGUCGCUACGUGUAGCGAUUUGAGAGUACCCGAAGAAAAAGCAUCGGCUAACUCCGUGCCAGCAGCCGCGGUAAUACGGAGGAUGCGAGCGUUAUCCGGAUUUAUUGGGUUUAAAGGGUGCGUAGGCGGUCGGAUAAGUUAGAGGUGAAAUCCCGAGGCUCAACUUCGGAAUUGCCUCUGAUACUGUUG
Molecule: ribosomal RNA, 305 nt
Filed under: uncultured bacterium
Lineage: Bacteria
Description: bacterial SSU rRNA
Rfam family: Bacterial small subunit ribosomal RNA
Source: RNAcentral